Long non-coding RNA from Lampris incognitus (smalleye Pacific opah), 2461 nucleotides. RefSeq lists it as uncharacterized. Lineage: Eukaryota; Metazoa; Chordata; Actinopteri; Lampriformes; Lampridae. The record is from RefSeq and is a predicted model, not a curated record. The transcript is spliced from 6 exons.
AGCGUUCUCCAUCCGUGGCCUGAAGUUGUCGGCUCCAAGAAUGAUUCUUGGCGAAUGCGUUGUGUCCUGCGUCAACCUAAAAACCACGAACUAAUGGCGUUCAAGUAUUCUCCGUCAAAUCUGAAAAAACACGAACAGGCCCACUCAAGCAUGUCUCAGCGACUGCAAUCUGGACCAGUAGGGGAGAGUUCCGGCACUAUGACUUUUCCCCUUUAGCAAACAUCAUCAGUUUCCAGAGCAGUCCCCGCUUCACCAGCAAAGGCCUGUGAUACCUCCACCAUUUCAGUGUUGGUCUGUGUGAAAAAGAGGGCAGAGAGCUGGCAGCCUGCAUGGAUAAUGUAACAGAAAGCAGUCCACUGUGGACUGUGGUUCCCUCAGACAUCAGGGGCCAGAGUGUAGUGUCCUUGCAGCCUUCUGUCAUUGGUGACAUGCUCAUUGGUAUGGGCCGAAAGCCAGUGCAUUCAUCACAAUCGAAGAGAGGGAUAUGACAGUGGCUAAUGUGUAACAACUGAUACAACCCUGAGUCACAUCUCCUCCCUGGAAGAGUCGUUUCCCACUGGAUCCAGCCUACCAGAUGUGAUAUUCUAUUACAGAUCUAGUGAGACAACCCAGGCUUGUAAACCGGGCAGAUCAACCACCAUCCAACUAAGCUGCAACCCGACAGAGACAGCCAAAGACCACAUCAGUCUGCAAAGCAAUUGCUCUGAGGGGACGUGUGAUGGAUGUUCGUUUCACUUUCUGUGGGAGAGCCAGCAUGCGUGUCCACUCUGCACUAAAAAUCACUACAGAGAGAUUGCCAGUGCAUACAUCCAGGGAAUUCAGGUACAGUAGUACACAAUUGUGGACACCUUAAUAACUCUUUUUGAAAUUCAAUAUGGUCUGAAUGAAACGAUUGUCUCUAUUAAAUGUGAUGCAGAGGAGAAAAAUCAAACUUUAUCUGUGUGUGUGUGUGUGUGUGUGGGCCCUGUGAUGGCCUGAUGGCCUGUCCAAGGUGUCUCCCUGCCUGCCGCCUAGUGACUGCUGGAAUUGGCUCCAGCAUCCCUGCGAGCAGGAUAAGCAGUUCAGAUAAUGGAUGGAUGGAUGGAGAUAUAUACAGUCACCGGCCACUUUAUUAGGUACACCUGUCCAACUGCUCGUUAACGCAAAUUUCUAAUCAGCCAAUCACAUGGCAGCAACUCAAUGCAUUUAGGCAUGUAGACAUGGUCAAGACGAUCUGCUGCAGUUCAAACCGAGCAUCAGAAUGGGGAAGAAAGGUGAUUUAAGUGCCUUUGAACGUGGCAUGGUUGUUGGUGCCAGACGGGCUGGUCUGAGUAUUUCAGAAACUGCUGAUCUACUGGGAUUUUCAUGCACAACCAUCUCUAGGGUUUACAGAGAAUGGUCCGAAAAAGAGAAAAUAUCCGGUGAGCGGCAGCUCUGUGGGCGAAAAUGCCUUGUUGAUGCCAGAGGUCGGAGGAGAAUGGCCAGACUGGUUCGAGCUGAUAGAAAGGCAACAGUAACUCAAAUAACCACUCAUUACAACCGAGGUAUGCAGAAGAGCAUCUCUGAACGCACAACACGUCGAACCUUGAGGCAGGUGGGCUACAGCAGCAGAAGACCACACCGGGUGCCACUCCUGUCAGCUAAGAACAGGAAACUGAGGCUACAAUUCGCACAGGCUCACCAAAAUUGGACAAUAGAAGAUUGGAAAAACGUUGCCUGAUCUGAUGAGUCUCGAUUUCUGCUGCGACAUUCGGAUGGUAGGGUCAGAAUUUGGCAUCAACAACAUGAAAGCAUGGAUCCAUCCUGCCUUGUAUCAACGGUUCAGGCUGGUGGUGGUGGUGUAAUGGUGUGGGGGAAAUUUUCUUGGCACACUUUGGGCCCCUUAGUACCAAUUGAGCAUCGUGUCAACGCCACAGCCUACCUGAGUAUUGUUGCUGACCAUGUCCAUCCCUUUAUGACCACAGUGUUCCCAUCUUCUGAUGGCUACUUCCAGCAGGAUAACGCGCCAUGUCAUAAAGCUCGAAUCAUCUCAGACUGGUUUCUUGAACAUGACAAUGAGUUCAUUGUACUCAAAUGGCCUCCACAGUCACCUGAUCUCAAUCCAAUAGAGCACCUUUGGGAUGUGGUGGACCGGGAGAUUCGCAUCAUGGAUGUGCAGCCAACAAAUAUGCAGCAACUGCGUGAUGCUAUCAUGUCAAUAUGGACCAAACUCUCUGAAGAAUGUUUCCAGUACCUUGUUGAAUCUAUGCUACGAAGGAUUAAGGCAGUUCUGAAGGCAAAAGGGGGUCCAACCCGGUACUAGCAAGGUGUACCUAAUAAAGUGGCCAGUGAGUGUAUAUAUUCCACUCCUUAUUAGUUGAGCACUUACAACACCAUUGACGGUUUCGGAAAAAAACGUUAUAUAUAUAUAUAUAUAUAUAUCAAACUUUGUUAAAAGAAACACUCAACGGUAGGGAAAGUGCUCAACAAAUAAGGAGCAAAA